This 284-nucleotide unclassified non-coding RNA is filed under the name Hevea brasiliensis (rubber tree). The record is from RNAcentral. Lineage: Eukaryota; Viridiplantae; Streptophyta; Magnoliopsida; Malpighiales; Euphorbiaceae.
GAUCCAAAGGAAGUUGAAAGUCACAGACUUUAUGGCCACAGUCUUCCUGCUGCUGAUGUCAACUACGAUCGUACGAGUCGAUACACAGGGAAUGUUAAUGGCGUGGAUGAUACAUCCUCGGAGAGUAGCUCAUCUUUGCAGGAUAAGUUAUUUUCUCAAAGUGAAGAUCCUCAUGAUGUCAAAACUUCUAGCUACGUAACACAGAAUGGAGCUAGCAGGCCAUCAAUUCCCAAGGGUGCCAAUAACAUGAGGUAUAAGCCAUCAGGCUAUUUGAAAGUGAAGGG